AAAAUGUGCGAAAGCAAACUGAUGUACCGGCAAAGUGAAGACAACAGCCUCACGCCCACGGCUACCACGGCUAUGACCAGCCGGACCACAAGGAGCAGCUCCCGAACUAUUACCAACACGAGCACCAGCAUCACUACUUUAACCGCCACGAACCCUUUGCGCAGCUGAAUCUGGACCACCAAUUCAACAACCGCAACCACGGUAACUAUUCUAAUUACGACACUAAUCAUCAGAUGAGCUUCGAACCUAAUGAACCAUUUGGUGGAGGAGAAGGAGAAGGAGGUGGAGAUGGAGAAUUCUGCUCCAACGCCUGCAAAAGAGGACGAUAUCAUGCUGGCCGAUCAGGUUCACCUGAUCUCCCCUUUGUUUGAAGAAUAUGGAAAUGUAUUUGAGGUAAUUUUCCCUAGGGAUAAGUGGACUGGCCAACAACAAGGUAUUGCUUUGUGAAAUAUGCAAAAAUAGAGGAAGCUGACAGGGCUAUUAGGACUUUAAAUGGUCAAUAUACUGUUCCCGGGGAGGCAGUUCCCAUUAAGGUCCGAUAGCAACGGGGACGUCUUGGUAAGGGAGAAAGGGAACACCCAGGUAAGUAUCUGCUAUUCACAAAUGUGCUUUUCUGCAGGCCUUUUUAUGUAACUUCUUGCUAUCAUAGUCUGUAGCUCACCUAGGUAAGUACUUCUGCCAUAUGCAAUUUUAUUAUUUGUAUUAUAUGUAUCAAGUAAUCUGCCCAACAGCCCAAUUCAUGCCAUUUUUCUGAGGAUCUGAGUAGUUGUUGUAGAAAUAUGUACCUCAACCAAAUAAUAGUGUCACUUUUAGGAUCUAUGUAUUUUCUUAUUUAGCUUUGAUGCCCUGCUCCUUAAUGAUCAGGAAAGGUUGAUACAUUUUGAAUUUGGCCAAUGAACAUCUUAUGGUGCCUGUAGUAAGGGGGAAAAUAUGGAAUGACUAACUAAGAAUCACUUAAAUGAAAUUUUUUAGGUAGCAACAUGUGACUAAUAUGUUAUCAGUCAGCAGCUAAUUUUUUAUGAGGGUUUCUUUGCAUUCUGUCAUAUUUUAUUUAAAGUGAAAAAUGGAUGUCUAUUUUUCUGCUUUUGGGUUUCCAUAAAUAAUAAGAUUCCUCUUGCUGAUUGGAACACUCUGUAUUUGUUAGCCAACAUGUCUCUGGGCCAUUGCUCAUCUGUGUACCUAAAGCCUUGGUAAUUUUUUCUUACUCCCUCUAGUGUCAUUUUUUUUUUUUGUUUUCAUUGCCUAUUAACUAUAUCUUCAUUGUGCUAUUUAGGGGUGAGCACUAUUUAGUUUGAACCGAAUAAAUCGAAUCGAAUUGACUUAAUUCGGUAAUUUGGUUCAGUUUUUAAGAUAAUUCGGUUCGGUUUUACAUUUUAAGAAUUUUGGUUUGAUUCGGUUUUGGAGAGAAAAAAUCGGUUGAACAAAACUAAACCGAACCGAAUCGCUUUAUUGAUUUUUAAAUUGAUUUAUUUUUAUAGGGAAUUUAUGAAUUUUGUAUAAUUUUAUAUAUAUAAAUUGUUUAAUUUCAUUAAUUAAUGGUUAUUAGGUCCAAACCAAGAUCAAAAUUAGACCAAAUAACUUGAAAAUCAAGUCUAAAUUAAAAAACCCAUCAAAACUAAAAAACUGAUCGGUUCGAACAGAAUCGAAUCGAAAUAGAGCGGUUUAGUUCGAUUUUUUAUUCAUUUCGAUUCAGUUUGGUUUAUAAAAUAUGGUAAUUCGGUUAAUUUGAUUUUGAUAAUUCGGUUUGGUUCGGUUCGAUUUGAACCAAAUGCUCAGCCCUAGUGCUAUGAUAGGGAGAAUGGAGUUUGUGGACAAACUCUAUGUUGCUUCCAUUAACAAACAAGCUUCAAAACAGGAAAUUGAGGAAGGAUGAGUCACAUUUAAUGAGUAUUGAAAUUUAUUCUAUCCUAGCUCAACAAAAUAGAUUUGAGAUUCACCAUUUCUGGUAUAUUUUUGGGUGUAUGAUAAUAUGCAUGGGUUAUGAAUGCAAACUGCAAAAAGAAAUUAGACGAAAUUAGAGUAUGUUAGGAUGGAAUCAGCAGUAAAAUCUGUUAAGUUGAAGGCUAUGGCUUGGAUGCUGUUGUCUAUGAUUAAAUUCAUUGCAUAGGUAACAGUACUUGCAUGCACUAUACAAUGCAACAGCAAGUGGGUGUAUUUACUUGAGCACAUAUGCCAUGUAAAUGUACAUCUUUUACUUGACUUUAUGUACAGAUAAUGUUUCCCAAAAUCAACUCUAUGUUUCAUAUAUUUUCUUUUUUUAGGAUUUCGGUUUAUGUACGAAUGUUUUCCAUGUUAGAUAUUUUCUCCAUAUGGUCAUGUGGAAGAUGCCUACAUUGCUUAAGAUACUGAAGCAAAGUCAUGGUAUGUCCAUCUUCCUUAUUAAUUACUUACUUCUUUAGCUGCAAAUAUCUGUGAUUAUUGACAUAAUGGAAUUUAAUUUGUCUAUGGUCUUUAUUUUAGACACAAUGCUGUGCAUUUCACCUAGAUAGAUCCUGGUCUUUAGUCCCAUAUGAUUAUCAUAGUUUCUUUUGAUGGUCUCUUCAUGCAUCAUCACGGAAUGAGCAACAUAACGAACAAAAAAGCAAAGGCAUCAAAACUGUUCAAUGAUACAUGCAAUUGUUUAGCGAACUUUAUUGUUGCACCAAUUGUUUUGUCUGGAACUUCCAUUUUAGUGCAGAAAUAAUGUUAUCCACCUGUCUUCUUCUGUUUUGGUGGCCUAGUUAUGUUUGAUUCUGUAUCUGAAUAUAAACACGUUUCUAUUAACUGGCAAAUUGUGCAUUCUGGUGGGCUUUUAUGAAGGAUGCACAUUUAUUAAAUUUUCUUACAGAGAUAUGGCAGUGGCGGCAAUGAAAGCAUCAAAUGGAACUUUCACAGUGAAAUUAAAGUGUAUCUUCUAUUUUUAUCUGUAUCUUGUAUCUUCUAUUUUUAUGUGUAUCUUUAUGAUUUUACUUUUGGAUUGUAUUUUCUCAUCCUCUCUGUUCUUCUGAUCAUUUCCAGGGUUGUGAUGAGCCUGUAAUUGUUCGUUUUGCGGAUCCCAUAAAACGUAGGACUAGAGAAUUAAGGGGAAAUUAUGCAUUUGGUGGACAAAAUUUUUGGUCCAUGUUUUCAUGAACCAAUGAUUAGGCCGACACCCAAUUUCCGCGAUUCCAUGGGAGGGUGUAUUUUUGCCUAAUGCUUCGUACUCUAUGCAUGAAAUUUCCCAAAAUUUGCAACCACAAACUGUUUCCUAUGCAGUUGAACUGACACUUUGAGCUCCUCAUAUCACAGAACAAUCACUGCCUCCAGUAAAGCAGCCACCAACACAGUUUUUUUUUUUUUUUUUUUUUUUGAUAAACAGCCACCAACACAGUUGUGUCAGAUGACAUCACAACAAACACAAGUUCCACAGAAAUUUUUGCAAUCAUCUCAACAAGCAGUCUCAGACAUGCUGAAAGAGGCUCAAAAUUUAGAGCAGCAGCAGAGUGUACAGAUUACCCCUGAGGACCUGCAUCAUGUGCAAAUAAAGUCAGAAACUAGUCCAUUUGAUCCCACCUUAGUUUAACAGGAGGGAGGCGCAUAGUAUUUAAAGCUUUUAAGGGUAAAUUAUAGAAACCCCCUGGAUAGUUGGAGUUAGCAGGCAUCUGCAGUAGUAAUUUGCCUUAUUUUUAUAGAGUAUGUAAACUGAAGUUUAGCGCUUGUAAAAUUGAAGGUUCAGUUGUUGGAUUGUGCUUUGGAUGAUGCAAUGUGAUGAAAUGAGUUGACGGUACAGGUCCUGUUGUGUUGCUGUCACAAAAAGGGUUGAUGGUGAAGUUUCUAUUUGCGUUUGCUUUUAAGGUUUUGAUUGUUUAGAACUCUUUGUAAGGUUAAUAUGAAGCCUAGUUUCUUAUAA
This is an RNA transcript of Hevea brasiliensis (rubber tree), 3868 nucleotides long. RefSeq lists it as uncharacterized. NCBI's taxonomy places the organism in Eukaryota, Viridiplantae, Streptophyta, Magnoliopsida, Malpighiales, Euphorbiaceae. The record is from RefSeq and is a predicted model, not a curated record. The transcript has 7 exons.